CGUAGGGGGCGAGCGUUGUCCGGAUUUAUUGGGCGUAAAGAGCUCGUAGGCGGUUGGGCAAGUCACGUGUGAAAUCUCUACGCUCAACGUGGAGGCGCCACGUGAGACUGCCCUGACUAGAGUCCGGUAGGGGAGCGUGGAAUUCCCGGUGUAGCGGUGAAAUGCGCAGAGAUCGGGAGGAACACCCGUAGCGAAGGCGGCGCUCUGGGCCGGUACUGACGCUGAGGAGCGAAAGCGUGGGGAGCAAACAGGAUUAGAUACCCUGGUAGUCCACGCCGUAAACGUUGGGCACUAGGUGUGGGGCUCUAUCGACGGGCUCCGUGCCGUAGCUAACGCAUUAAGUGCCCCGCCUGGGGAGUACGGCCGCAAGGCUA
This 374-nucleotide ribosomal RNA is filed under the name uncultured organism. RNAcentral's name for it is "bacterial SSU rRNA". It matches the Rfam family "Bacterial small subunit ribosomal RNA", at positions 526 to 896 of the family's 1533-position model. The record is from RNAcentral.